Molecule: ribosomal RNA, 113 nt
Organism: Erinaceus europaeus (western European hedgehog)
Lineage: Eukaryota; Metazoa; Chordata; Mammalia; Eulipotyphla; Erinaceidae
Source: Ensembl
CUCUACGGCCAUACCACCCUGAACAUGCCCAAUCUCGUCUGAUCUUGGAAGCUAAGCAGGGUUGAGCCUGGUUACUACUUGCAUGGGAGAAGAUAAACAUAUGUGCUUAAAUA